This 1690-nucleotide long non-coding RNA is filed under the name Ursus americanus (American black bear). Its description in RNAcentral is "lncRNA (ENSUAMG00000014093.1)". Lineage: Eukaryota; Metazoa; Chordata; Mammalia; Carnivora; Ursidae. The record is from RNAcentral.
CCCCGCCCUCCGUCCGGCCGCCGCCGCACGGCCGAGGGCCGUUUCCCGCGGGUGGACGAGGAGGGCCCGGCCCGCCCGGCACCUUUGAUGACGCGUUCGGUGGUGGAGAGGUGGAGGUUCCUCCCGGACAUGGUCCCCUCGGCCUCCUCCCGGCUCCAGGCGACCGCCAGACGUGCGCCUCCGCCUUCGUGUCCAGCAGUGUCAGCUCCCCGGGGCCACUCAGCCCGCCGUGCUCCGGCCCCGGCUCCUCCGGGAGGCCCAGCCUGCGCUCCCUGCAGCGGACUCCCCCUGGGCUGCCUGCCGCUGCCCCGGCCCGCAGCACCUACCACCAGCUCCUAGGUCCGGCACGGAAAGCGCCGGCGAAGCAGCGGCCAUCUUGUGACCGGGCCGCCGCGACCCGGCAGCAGCUCCCGGGACCGCGAACCUCCUGUCACCCUCACCCUGGGGCCACCUUGCCGGGAGCCCUUGUCUUCCCAGACCCUCCUCACGGCAGCCCUCCCUCCUUUUCUUCUGGUCUUCCGCCCACUCUGUCUCUAGGGAGUCCCUGUCAAUCUGACCAUGCUCCUUUCCGCAGUUACCCUCCCGCUACCAUUCACCAAACCCAUCGAAGCCCUCAAUUUAGUGUUCACAUUUGUUGAGUGCAGUUGGUAUAGGGAGAAGUACGUUCGUGGCCAUGCUAGCUCCAGUCCAGUAGUUGGCGGGCCUCGGAUUCCGGGUGGCCUGAGACUUGGCCCCGUGGCCUCCUCACUUCCUCUCCACGUCCAAGAGAAGGGAGAGCAGCCGCUCCAGGGAGCCACUCGGCCAGACCUCCAAUGUGCAGGGAACUGACCUUCUUAUAAGCCCUGAGUGUCACCUACUCUGCUAGAAGCAACCCCCUCGUCUUCCCCUUUGUUGCAGUGACACAGUACCUGCUUGCCCUGCUCAUGCUUACUGUGGAACACAAUGGGCAAGUCUCUAGAGAGUCUUAACAAUCUAGCUCAUCUCUGGGUUAAAAACUGACCUUUUCCCUUAAAUUGUAAGCUUAGAAUAGAAGCUGUCUUACUGUGACUGUCUUCCCUCACCGAGUAUAGCACCUGGCAAAGUCAAAAGUAUUUUGAGUUUAGCAAUGAUAAUGUAAUAUUGAAACUGAGAUCCAAAGAAACAGGCAAUCCAGUCUUAAGAGUCACUGUGGUGGCCAAUAAGUCAUAUGUGGUUACACACAUUUAAAUUAAAUAGCAUUAAAAAUUUGAAUAUUCAGUUCCUGGAGUGCACUAGCCACAUUUCAAGUGCUCAGUAAUUAUCUUACCGGUCCUGGUAGCAGAGGACAUUUCCGUCAUAGCACCAAGUUCUUUUGGACAGCCCCUAGCUAAAAGAUUAGAAGGGUUAAAGCCUAAUCUCCAUGAAUAUAGGUUUAUGUAUUGGGAGAUCUGGGGAUAUAUAUACUGGAGUCAUCCCCUGAAUUACGCCUUGGAAUUUUGACUUAAGGCCAUUCGUAGUAACCCCAACAAGGCAGGAGCACUUUGGGAGCUGGAUUUAAUUUGGUUCUGUUUUCUUGGGUUUUGACAUCAGGCUUCCACCCAAGAGAAUUGUUCAGAUAUCCUGAAGAAAUUCUAAGUUUAACAGGUAAUGAGAACUCCACACUUCUAUCAAACAGAGCAAAUCUCUAAAGGUCAAAAAUAAACUGGUCCCUGCAGCAUAAUAGAUGUUAAAA